This 223-nucleotide ribosomal RNA is filed under the name uncultured bacterium. RNAcentral describes it as "partial 16S ribosomal RNA". It matches the Rfam family "Bacterial small subunit ribosomal RNA", at positions 107 to 334 of the family's 1533-position model. The record is from RNAcentral.
UAAAUAACAAUCGGAACGUGUCUUCUUGUGGGGGAUAACUAGCCCGAAGACGAGCUAAUACCGCAUGAGACCUGAGGGUGAAAGCGGGGGAUCGCAAGACCUCGCGCUGGAAGAGCGGCCGAUGUCCGAUUAGCUAGUUGGUGAGGUAAAGGCUCACCAAGGCGACGAUCGGUAGCUGGUCUGAGAGGACGACCAGCCACACUGGGACUGAGACACGGCCCAG